AUUGGAUUGAGAACAACGUACAAACCUUAUCGAUAAACAAUUGGAGGGCAAGUCUGGUGCCAGCAGCCGCGGUAAUUCCAGCUCCAAUAGCGUAUAUUAACGUUGUUGCAGUUAAAAAGCUCGUAGUUGAAAUGAAGGGUAGUUGUGUAAUGAAUACAUUCGUGUAUUUUGUUAUUCUACUACCCUCCUUCUAAAUUCGAUAUAUGAGUAUUAAUUUACUUGUAUAUGGUUUUAGACSUUUACUGUGAGAAAAUUAGAGUGUUCAAAGCAGGCAUUUGCUUGAAUAUAUUAGCAUGGAAUAAUCAUGUAUGAUUUUCAUGAUGUAUUUGAUUGGUUUGGUUCAUGAGAAUAAGAUUAAAAGGGACAGUUGGGGGUAUUCAUAUUCAAUAGUCAGAGGUGAAAUUCUCGGAUUUAUGGAAGAUGAACAAGUGCGAAAGCAUUUACCAAGGAUGUUUUCAUUAAUCAAGAACGAAAGUUAGGGGAUCGAAGAGGAUUAGAUACCCUCGU
RNAcentral lists this ribosomal RNA (507 nucleotides) under uncultured Blastocystis sp. RNAcentral's name for it is "SSU rRNA". It matches the Rfam family "Eukaryotic small subunit ribosomal RNA", at positions 510 to 1032 of the family's 1831-position model. The record is from RNAcentral. Lineage: Eukaryota; Bigyra; Opalinata; Blastocystidae.